RNAcentral lists this long non-coding RNA (1260 nucleotides) under Brassica napus (rape). RNAcentral describes it as "long non-coding RNA (BNAP_LNC023099)". The record is from RNAcentral. Lineage: Eukaryota; Viridiplantae; Streptophyta; Magnoliopsida; Brassicales; Brassicaceae.
AGAAAUUAAAAAAAUAAAGUAAACCACCACAAUUUCUCCAAUUAGGUUUACACUAAACCAAAAAAAAAAACACUAUUCCUAAAAUACAAAGGAACACUCCAGCCGCCCUCCUCCAUGUGCGCCUGGCCUCCUCCAGCCUUGACAGGAGACGUCGUCGUCUCUGCUUCCGGCCUCAGGGUCUCCUCCACUACAGUUUUUGUGCCUUCUCCGACGCAGCUUCCGAGGCUUCACCAUCUCCGCGUCCAUUGAAGUCAAAGGAGAGUCGAGAUGAAGCGAGGAGAGUCUAGCAGAGGCGAGGAGAUUCUAGCAGAGGCGAGUCGAGUCGAAAAGAGGCGAGGUGGUAAGCUUCCGGAGCUUGAGACGAUGUGAACUUCAUGGCAGGGAGAAGCAAUUCGAUCUGGAAAAAAAACAGAGAGCAGAGAAAUUAGAUUUAAAAAACUGCAUAAUGAGAGAAAGAAGAGAAGAUGACAAAGGUGUGAAGAGAAAGAGAGAUCGAUUGAGAGACCAGAUUUUUCACGGAAAGAGGGAAGAGGAGGAGAUGGAAGAAAAAAUUUUGAUUUAAAUUUUAAAAGUUCAACUUUGUGAUUGGUAUUUAGGUAUUAGAAAAUAGAGUUAAGAGUUUAUGAAAUAGAGUUUAGCAUUUAAAUUUAAAAAUUGAAGUUUUGAAAACAGAUGUAAAAUUUAAAUUUAAGAUUUAGAUUUAAAAUAAAUUUUGAUUAUAUCAUUUUUUUUAAUAUAUAGGCACUUUCUUAGCCAAUAACAUGCUCAUCAUAUCUUCUAAACUUUUACAAUUUUUUUUGUUAAUUGAUUUUCUAUCUUUGGGAAAGUUAUAUAAAAUUUUGAUUUAUAGUUAUAUUUAAUUUAUAUCUUGGAUAAUAAAAAAUUUAUAUAUCAAGCUUUUGAAUUUUUUAACAUAAAAAUUAAAAUAUUAAUUUAAAUUGAGUAGAUAUGAUACUGACGUGUUUGAUUUUUAUAUAAGGUUAAAAUAGAUAUUAAAAGUUUGGAUAUAGUGUAUGAAGUUAAGGUUUUUUUAAAAUUUUGAAAAAUUAUAAACUUAAUAAGGGCUUGAACCUUUUAAUAUUUUGUUACUUUUGUAAGUAAGAGUUAGAACAUAAUUAGGGUUAGAAGCUUGGAUAUAGGGUUUGAAAUUUAAAAUAAACUUAGUGUUUUAUGAUAUGACAAAGGUGUGAAGAGAAAGAGAGAUCGAUUGAGAGACCAGAUUUUUCACGGAAAGAGGGAAGAGGAGGAGAUGGAAGAAAA